GCAGCUAACGCAACAACCGAUGCGCCACAUACUGUCGCCCCCCACCACUCCUCUCCCGACCCCUAUUUAGCUAUCCCAAGCGGCCAUAGUCGAGCGGCUAGUUCUACGUCGUUAAAUAAACGUUUGGUAUCUUGCUUUCUUCCCCUUCUUCCUCCUACUCCCCCUCUGCCCCGCUCUGACUCCUCUUUUUAUCCUUUCGCUGGAAACUUCAAUGCGUCCUCUCUCUCUCUCUCUCUUUCUUUCUUUCUUUUUGCCUCCAUCUUUCUUUUUCUUUCUAGCGAGGGAGAGAAGAGAACACGAGCGCGCAACAUGCAGUGAGCCGUAUACAAAGGUCUGAUUGCUGGACACCCGGUGAAAUAUGCCAGUCUCCACCAAUAACCGAAUGAGAAGAGAGUUAUAAGAGCGGUAAUCCGAGAGGGGAAGGAUACGAGGAUGAAAAGGGGGAGGAGGAGGAGGAGGAGGAAGAGGAAGAAAAAAGAAACUAAAAGAAACGAUACUGGAGGAGAGAAUGGUGGUGAUGGCGAAAAGAGGCAAUGCUGUGUGCAUCGGACGGUGAUAUUACACCGAUGACGGCACCCUUUCCUUUCCUUUCCUUUCCUUUCCUUUUCUUUCCUUUCUUUUCUUUCUUUCCUUCCUUCUCUUAUAAACUUUAUGAAAUAUCAACACACUUUCUCUCUUAUCCUUGUCUCUAUAUUAAACUUUUGAUCAGGAAAAUAAACAUCAUUGGUUAAUGAACUGUUUCCAUUUAUAUCGCAACGUUUAAUGCUCCGCGUAAUUGGUGUGUACAUAUAUAUAAGAUAUUUAAAAAUAAUAAACAUCUCUUUGACUUU
Polistes dominula (European paper wasp) is the source of this 830-nucleotide long non-coding RNA. RefSeq lists it as uncharacterized. The record is from RefSeq and is a predicted model, not a curated record. NCBI's taxonomy places the organism in Eukaryota, Metazoa, Arthropoda, Insecta, Hymenoptera, Vespidae.